AAGAACUAACAGGAUUCCCCUAGUAACUGCGAGUGAAGCGGGAAAAGCUCAAAUUUAAAAUCUGGUGGUCUUUGGCCGUCCGAGUUGUAAUUUAGAGAAGCGUCUUCCGCGCUGGACCGUGCACAAGUCUCCUGGAAUGGAGCGUCGUAGAGGGUGAGAAUCCCGUCUUUGGCAUGGACACACCAGGGCUUUUGUGAUGCGCUCUCGAAGAGUCGAGUUGUUUGGGAAUGCAGCUCAAAAUGGGUGGUGAACUCCAUCUAAAGCUAAAUAUUGGCGAGAGACCGAUAGCGAACAAGUACCGUGAGGGAAAGAUGAAAAGCACUUUGGAAAGAGAGUGAAACAGUACGUGAAAUUGUUGAAAGGGAAACGCUUGAAGUCAGUCGCGUCGACCGAGACUCAGCCUCGCCUCGGCUUGGUGUACUUCUCGGCCGACGGGUCAGCAUCAAUUUUGCCUCUUGGAUAAUGGCGGGGGAAAUGUGACACCUUUACGGUGUGUUAUAGUCUCUCGUCGCAUGCAAGGGUCGGGAUUGAGGAACUCAGCACGCGCCUUUGGGCGUCGGGGCUUUGCCCACGAUUACGUGCUUAGGAUGUUGGCGUAAUGGCUUUAAACGACCCGUCUUGAAACACGGACCAAGGAGUCUAACAUGCCUGCGAGUGUUCGGGUGGAAAACCCGUGCGCGCAAUGAAAGUGAAAGUUGGGACCU
Molecule: ribosomal RNA, 704 nt
Filed under: Russula font-queri
Lineage: Eukaryota; Fungi; Basidiomycota; Agaricomycetes; Russulales; Russulaceae
Description: partial large subunit ribosomal RNA
Rfam family: Eukaryotic large subunit ribosomal RNA
Source: RNAcentral